RNAcentral lists this long non-coding RNA (332 nucleotides) under Zostera marina. RNAcentral describes it as "long non-coding RNA (ZMAR_LNC004303)". The record is from RNAcentral. Lineage: Eukaryota; Viridiplantae; Streptophyta; Magnoliopsida; Alismatales; Zosteraceae.
GAUGGGGGUGAAACCCGACCAGUACUCCAAGACGCGCAAGCAAGCGCCGAGCGGGGAACUCCGCGGGAAACCGGACCGGAACUCAAGUGUGCAGAGCUCUGCUUCGCUAGGAAUUCUUCUUCUCCAAAUGACUUACCUUUAAUGAGUGGGGGGUGCCCUCUAUUUAUAGGGGUUCUUAUGGGGGCAAUCUGGGCAUUUGGGCAGUAACCGCCUAACUGCCCAACUGAUCAGAUUGGGUCCAGGGGUCGACUUUCCAGAGAUCGACUUUCUGGGGGUCGACUUUUCCUUGUGAUCGACUUUACUCAAAAGUCGAUCCCAGGGAAGUCGAUCCU